RNAcentral lists this ribosomal RNA (393 nucleotides) under uncultured bacterium. RNAcentral's name for it is "partial 16S ribosomal RNA". It matches the Rfam family "Bacterial small subunit ribosomal RNA", at positions 523 to 918 of the family's 1533-position model. The record is from RNAcentral.
AUACGGAGGAUGCAAGCGUUAUCCGGAUUUAUUGGGUUUAAAGGGAGCGUAGGCGGUUUGCUAAGCGGGAGGUGAAAUGCCGGCGCUCAACGUCGGAAGUGCCUCCCGAACUGGUGGACUGGAAUGACUCUGCCGUGGGAGGAAUGUGUAGUGUAGCGGUGAGAUGCUUAGAGAUUACACAGAACACCGAUUGCGAAGGCAUCUCACGAAGGGUUGAUUGACGCUGAGGCACGAAAGCGUGGGGAUCAAACAGGAUUAGAUACCCUGGUAGUCCACGCAGUAAACGAUGAUGGCUAACCGCUGGUUUUUUCGGAUCAGUGGCCAAGCGAAAGCGAUAAGCCAUCCACCUGGGGAGUACGACCGCAAGGUUGAAACUCAAAUGAAUUGACGGGG